UUUUGGGUGUUAAGCAGGAGGGAUCAGAAAAGUUACUGCAGGGAUAACUGGCUUGUG
Molecule: ribosomal RNA, 57 nt
Filed under: Ailuropoda melanoleuca (giant panda)
Lineage: Eukaryota; Metazoa; Chordata; Mammalia; Carnivora; Ursidae
Description: similar to 28S ribosomal RNA
Source: RNAcentral